This is a long non-coding RNA of Sphaerodactylus townsendi, 691 nucleotides long. RefSeq lists it as uncharacterized. The record is from RefSeq and is a predicted model, not a curated record. NCBI's taxonomy places the organism in Eukaryota, Metazoa, Chordata, Lepidosauria, Squamata, Sphaerodactylidae. The transcript has 4 exons.
UUCAGCACUGUAUGAAUUUUAUGUUGUACACCGCCCGGAGCCCUUCGGGGAUGGGGCAGUAUAGAAAUCAGGCAGUAUAGAAAUCAGAGAGAGAGAGAGAGAGAGAGAUAAACUAGGCAUUUCUCUGCUCAUCCCCCUUUCCCUGGGUCUCUUUUUGUAUUUUUAUGAAAAAAAUAUGGGAAAAUUGGGUGUUUUUUUCUUCCCAUAGUACCAGAAGAAGUGUCACGAAAGCUCCUGCAGUACCUGUUGUUAGUCUUUACGAUGCCAUUGAACUGUUGCAAUUUGUUCUGCUUCUCCUGCCAAUUGUGGAGCUUAACUGUUGGGAUUUGUUUCUCCCAGGGGACCCUGACGAUGAUCAUUGCCAAGGAUGUGAAGAGCCGGACCAUCUCACCUAGUUGGUACCUGUCUGGGGCAGGCAGCACUGCAUCUGCUGGCCCGCUGGAGAGGAGUUCAUCAAAGCCGCUGGGGAUGAUUCCAGAGUUCCAGUUGAUUACUACAGAAAGGAAAUAGAUUGGGAGACUCAUGGAGCUCAGCUCUGGGCUGGAAACCAAGGUCAGCAUGGUGAGGUGUAAGCCUACACAUCAGACCCUCCUAUCACCCACAUGGCACGUCUGGCUGGGCAGUGGAGGCGCUGAGCCACUCCUUCACUCUGCUGCAUCAGGAGAGCAACCAGCAGCAGGCCCGAAUCCGG